This 500-nucleotide ribosomal RNA is filed under the name uncultured Actinomycetes bacterium. RNAcentral describes it as "bacterial SSU rRNA". It matches the Rfam family "Bacterial small subunit ribosomal RNA", at positions 8 to 522 of the family's 1533-position model. The record is from RNAcentral. Lineage: Bacteria; Bacillati; Actinomycetota; Actinomycetes.
AGAGUUUGAUCAUGGCUCAGGACGAACGCUGGCGGCGUGCUUAACACAUGCAAGUCGAACGGAAAGGCCCUUUCGGGGGUACUCGAGUGGCGAACGGGUGAGUAACACGUGGGUGAUCUGCCCUGCACUUUGGGAUAAGCCUGGGAAACUGGGUCUAAUACCGAAUACACCUUGCUGGUUGCAUGACUGGUGGGGGAAAGCUUUUGCGGUGUGGGAUGGGCCCGCGGCCUAUCAGCUUGUUGGUGGGGUGAUGGCCUACCAAGGCGACGACGGGUAGCCGGCCUGAGAGGGUGUCCGGCCACACUGGGACUGAGAUACGGCCCAGACUCCUACGGGAGGCAGCAGUGGGGAAUAUUGCACAAUGGGCGCAAGCCUGAUGCAGCGACGCCGCGUGAGGGAUGACGGCCUUCGGGUUGUAAACCUCUUUCAGUAUCGACGAAGCGCAAGUGACGGUAGGUACAGAAGAAGCACCGGCCAACUACGUGCCAGCAGCCGCGGUA